Molecule: ribosomal RNA, 421 nt
Filed under: uncultured Pontibacter sp.
Lineage: Bacteria; Pseudomonadati; Bacteroidota; Cytophagia; Cytophagales; Hymenobacteraceae
Description: bacterial SSU rRNA
Rfam family: Bacterial small subunit ribosomal RNA
Source: RNAcentral
UAGGGAAUAUUGGGCAAUGGCCGAGAGGCUGACCCAGCCAUGCCGCGUGCAGGAAGAAGGCCUUCUGGGUUGUAAACUGCUUUUACCAGGGAAGAAAACGCUCCUGCGGGAGUAACUGACGGUACCUGGUGAAUAAGCACCGGCUAACUCCGUGCCAGCAGCCGCGGUAAUACGGAGGGUGCAAGCGUUGUCCGGAUUUAUUGGGUUUAAAGGGUGCGUAGGCGGCCCUGUAAGUCAGCGGUGAAAUCCCAGGGCUCAACCCUGGAACUGCCGUUGAUACUGCAGGGCUUGAGUUCGGUUAAGGCGGGCGGAACUGGUGGUGUAGCGGUGAAAUGCAUAGAUACCACCAAGAACCCCGAUUGCGUAGGCAGCUCGCUGAGCCGAAACUGACGCUGAGGCACGAAAGCGUGGGGAGCGAACA